Molecule: long non-coding RNA, 2135 nt
Organism: Xiphophorus couchianus (Monterrey platyfish)
Lineage: Eukaryota; Metazoa; Chordata; Actinopteri; Cyprinodontiformes; Poeciliidae
Exons: 3
Source: RefSeq, a predicted model, not a curated record
UAUUUAUUUUAAACGCCACGGCUAUCUCCAUUCCAGUUCAUUGUGAAAUCCCUCGUCUGCUGUGUGAUGCAUUCAGGGGCCCGAGGCCCGAGGGAGACAUUUGCAAAAGUACGUAAACGCUGAUGAUGUAAAAGUGAUGCCAUCAUGGUUGGCUGAGCUUGGAUUUGAGAGGGGGGGGAAAAAACAAAACAAUCUUCUCCAACUGGAGGAGUGAGGAUUAUACCGUUGCAUCAUGGGAAAUGUAAGAUACAGUGUUUAUGCAGCUCAUGCCAAACUAGACAUCCUAAAUACUAAAUAUGCUAUAAUUUCAACUUGCUUUCAAACAACCAACAUCACACAGAAUCAUGCAAGAAUAAUAAAAUGAAAGAAGUUUCCACUCGCAUGUAGAACUUUGAUCAAACAAAGGAGGGAAAAACAAAAAUCCCACGCACCCAAAAGAAUUACCCGCUAGCUUUCAGUUCCUCUGCGACUGCAGGUUUCCGCGUGCCAGCGCCAAUUAUAAGCAGCCCAUUAUUCAUAAAUAAUUUUAAAUUAUACAUACUGUUUUUAGACCCUGUGAUAAUUCCUAAUUAGUCACUAUGUUGAUGAAAUAUCUGGUGGUAUAUCAGCGAGGAACAGCAAAUGAGGCCCAGAUGCCCAGUGAAAGCUUUGUCUAAUAAAGCUAACAGAAGUUACUCUGAUCUCUCUCUCUCUCUUGCAGUGUGUAUGUCAGUGUGUCUGUACACACAUACAAAACAGUUGUUUGUUCUUCAUUAUUUCUGUGUCCUGCUCCUGGCACACUGCACAGCCAGCCUGGCAGCCAAUUGCUCCCAUGACCCUGCAGUCUUGCCACGCUAACAAGCUAGCGGCCACACAAACCGCCGCUGAACCGGUCGGCUAGCGAGCGCUCAGAGAGAAACAGCAAAAACAAAUAAGCUUCAGGUGAAUAAAAGCAACUGUGUAUGUUGGACAACUGCCGUUCCCUCGUGGCUUUUGUUAGUAGGCGAGAAGAUUAGGACAGCAGUACAGUUAUUGAAGCAUCAUGUUUUCUGCAAAAGACAUAUUUGCUCCGACUCUGUCAAUAUCACAAAUGCACGGGGGAACCUGAGCCACUCCCUCUUUACCCAAACACUCCGUCUUUCCCCACCACAGAGCAGCGAGAGCGAGCGAGCGAGCGAGCGAGGCAGAAGGAGAAGCGGAGCAGAGCUGAGCGGGACACAACAGACUUCAUGAUGAAUUACAUGAUCACCUGCUAUGCCUCAGAGCCUUUCAUUCAGACAGAUGAGGCAGGCCGGGGGCAGGUGGCCGCAGCCCCCAAACAGCUCUGUCUAAACAACCAACUGGAUGAGGUGCCGAAGAAACUUCACUCACAUCCCCGCUACCUCGCCGACGUCUCUUGCAGGGCGCUCGGGCUUUCUCACGUCUCCUUGUGUUACAACCACAAACUUCAGUAUCCCGAGCAGUUCAUCCAUGCUGGAUCUACCUGAGCGUUGUGCGCAAGCGGUUUGAUUGGCAGCAGACUACAUCCGUUUAGUGGCCUGUGGAUUAAACGACUGGACAGCAACGAGCAAAUAUAAGGAGAGAUUGAAGAGAAACUGGCCACUCAAAGGUACAUUGAUUGGCGGCAGACUGCAAUCGAUGAUUUGGCCGGUAGAUUUACGUCAGCAACAUCUCGACCACCAUUGUCAAUCUACAUCAAGACUGUAGUAGUUGGGCAGGGUGGCGAGGUAUAAAUUCAUAAUUCCAUGGUGAAACCUUGUGGUCCAAAUCUUUCUAUCAAUUGUGGCAGAAGAGCACAUCCAGAGUCAAGUGGAUGGGACACGAACAAAUAUACUAAGAGAUUUCAAAGAAAUUUCAGAGAAAUCUAUUGGUAGACAUUUUGAGCAUCUACCCAGGGGUAAACGACUCCACAAGGAGUGGAGUUUUGACCACAGCUCCUCCAAGUUUCCCACAUUCCUCCCAGGCUCCGGCCCACAUUCACACCCACUGAGAGGAGCUCACUACCAAUGCAGACACAGACAAUUUGGCUAAAACCAAAUCAAACAUUAACCGGCCAGAGUGAGACUUGACAAUGGAGGAGAAAGGGCUUCAGAGAACGUUAGUGAACAAACAGCCGAGGUCAAAGAACACAACAGAAAGGUCAGGGAGAAGAAGUU